AUACGUAGGUGGCAAGCGUUGUUCGGAAUUACUGGGCGUAAAGGGCGAGUAGGUGGCCAUCUAAGUCAGACGUGAAAUCCCCCGGCUUAACCUGGGAACUGCGUCUGAUACUGGACGGCUAGAGUUUGGGAGAGGGAUGCAGAAUUCCAGGCGUAGCGGUGAAAUGCGUAGAUAUCUGGAGGAAUACCGGUGGCGAAGGCGGCAUCCUGGACCAACACUGACACUGAAUCGCGAAAGCUAGGGGAGCAAACGGGAUUAGAUACCCCGGUAGUCCUAGCCCUAAACGAUGAAUGCUUGGUGUGGCGGGUAUCGAUCCCUGCCGUGCCGAAGCUAACGCAUUAAGCAUUCCGCCUGGGGAGUACGGUCGCAAGGCUGAAACUUAAAGGAAUUGACGGG
This 396-nucleotide ribosomal RNA is filed under the name uncultured bacterium. Its description in RNAcentral is "partial 16S ribosomal RNA". It matches the Rfam family "Bacterial small subunit ribosomal RNA", at positions 523 to 917 of the family's 1533-position model. The record is from RNAcentral.